AGUUACUGCAACCAUAAUACAGCCAAUUACCAUCUAACUCAAUCUCGAGCCCUACAACGAUCAUCAUCAGCUGUCUGGUGGCGAUUCAGUGCUCGACCACCGACCCGUCGACAGCUGGCCUGACAGGCGUUUUCCCACUAAGAUGGUGACGAUCCAAGCGGCAGCAUCAGUAGCCCUGCCAAAGAAACCAAUCGCCUCCUCCAACAAAAAUGUGACGCAGAUGUCGUCUUCAUCGGUUGGUAAUCGCGCCAGUUGCGGAAUUUGGCAAGCUUUGCGGGCAAGCUUCGAGCGGUACCAGACGUUUACCAGUUCGGCUUGGCCCUACCGAUAAGGAUUUUGCGUGCCGACUGCUCGAGAAGUGAUUUGCUAUAUUUAAUCAGUCGAAUCGAUGGAAACAAUGAGGAAAGGCAAUAAAGUUCGGUUCUGAUAAAGAAAUUA
Long non-coding RNA from Aedes aegypti (yellow fever mosquito), 438 nucleotides. RefSeq lists it as uncharacterized. The transcript has 2 exons. NCBI's taxonomy places the organism in Eukaryota, Metazoa, Arthropoda, Insecta, Diptera, Culicidae. The record is from RefSeq and is a predicted model, not a curated record.